CCUAACGGUAUCGAGCGAGCCGGUUGUAGACGUGGUCCAGGUUUCUGCACAGGAAUAUCGAGAGCGUCAUGAACCCGAGCUAUAGAGAAAGGAGAUGAGGCCCCGCCCCAUUCGACAGGUUUAUGCUCCGAACCCCUGCCCACCUCGCGGUAGAUGUGGCUCUCUGCAGGGACAGCGCAGAUGUCUGCACUGUGUCUGGACCGCGCCAGGUGUCCAAGCCUGCUGAGCUGGGGCAAGAUCACCUUAUCUAGGAUUGUGGAGUCGUUGGUCGCCGACAAGUUGUAGCAGGAGCAGGGCACGCGGUGCGCCUCCGACCCGUUACCUCUCAGGAUGAGGACUUGGAACCAGUCCUGCGGGUAGUGCCAGCCGCAGCAGCGCAGCUGGGAGAGGGAUACGAGUCAGAGGGACCGGGACUGGAGACAUAUGAUGUUGGGGAUCAGGGGACAAGGUGAUGGGUAUGAGGUCAGGUCGGGGAGCAGGGGACUAAGUGGUGGGUGUGGAGUGGGGGACAGUGGGCUGGGGUCACGAUGGGGCCGGAGCCAGGGGACAUUACGGGAACAUGGGGCUGGGAAAGACGAGUCACGGGGUGACCUGGGGCUGGGGAAGGAGCUGCAGGGUCGCGCUGUGGACUAGAGAUUGGGUGGGUGGUGCAAUUGAGCCUCUGAUACCCGACAGGUGAAUAGGAGUGCGAGACCAUGUGAGUCUCAUCGGGGGCGGGGUCCGGUGGAAGCCAGAGUCACUACGGGGUAGGAAGCCGUGUCUCGCUAGGGUCUUGGGACUAGGGGCCUGACAACCUCUGGUCGGGGCGGGGGCGGGGGCGGAGUCUCUCGAGGUAGCUAGGCAGCCACCCAAGUGGGGAGCAGUAUCUUGGUGCCCCUCUCUCUGGGACUCUGUCCCUGCCCCACCCUGAGUCCCUGUUUCCUUCUGAAACUUUCUCUUCUUUCUGGGCCUGUUUCCCGUCCCUGGAUCUCUGUCUCUCUUCCUCUUACCCUCUCCUUCCUCCUUCAGCUCCUCCUCGUCCCCAGUAGUUUCAGCCCUAUCACUUGUUCUGUGACAUUGGCUUGGCUCCUUAAACCUCCCUGAGGCAUAGGAGAUGAUAUCUAUUUCUUAGGGUUUUUUUUUGAGUUGGAGCCUCGCUCUGUCCCCCAGGCUGGAGUGCAGUGAUGUGAUC
Molecule: long non-coding RNA, 1171 nt
Filed under: Homo sapiens (human)
Lineage: Eukaryota; Metazoa; Chordata; Mammalia; Primates; Hominidae
Description: HSALNT0398433
Source: RNAcentral